CGGAACGUGGACAAGAGGUCAAAGUCGCAGAGCUGAAAGAGAGAUUGAUCUGACAAAGGAAGCUCAGAGACGCAGGUUCAAAUCCUGCCGUUCCGA
RNAcentral lists this transfer RNA (96 nucleotides) under Blautia sp. RNAcentral's name for it is "tRNA-OTHER". It matches the Rfam family "tRNA". From Rfam's summary of the family: Transfer RNA (tRNA) molecules are approximately 80 nucleotides in length. Their secondary structure includes four short double-helical elements and three loops (D, anti-codon, and T loops). Lineage: Bacteria; Bacillati; Bacillota; Clostridia; Lachnospirales; Lachnospiraceae. The record is from RNAcentral.